UACGUAGGGUGCAAGCGUUAAUCGGAAUUACUGGGCAUAAAGCGUGCGCAGGCGGUGAUGUAAGACAGGUGUGAAAUCCCCGGGCUUAACCUGGGAACUGCAUUUGUGACUGCAUCGCUGGAGUGCGGCAGAGGGGGAUGGAGUUCCGCGUGUAGCAGUGAAAUGCGUAGAUAUGCGGAGGAACACCGAUGGCGAAGGCAAUCCCCUGGGCCUGCACUGACGCUCAUGCACGAAAGCGUGGGGAGCAAACAGG
Molecule: ribosomal RNA, 253 nt
Filed under: uncultured bacterium
Lineage: Bacteria
Description: partial 16S ribosomal RNA
Rfam family: Bacterial small subunit ribosomal RNA
Source: RNAcentral